RNAcentral lists this long non-coding RNA (1234 nucleotides) under Numida meleagris (helmeted guineafowl). RNAcentral's name for it is "lncRNA (ENSNMEG00000006133.1)". The record is from RNAcentral. Lineage: Eukaryota; Metazoa; Chordata; Aves; Galliformes; Numididae.
ACAUCGCCCCACAUCACCCCAUAGCCUGCCCCAUAGCGCAACCCACAGUGCCCCACAUCACCCCACAGCCUGCCCCAUAGCGUGACCCAGAGUGCCCCUACAUCGCCCCACAUCGCCCCAUAGCCUGCCCCAUAGUGUGACCCACAUUACCCCAUAUCAUGCCCCAUAGCGCGACCCAGAGUGCCCCCACCUUGCCCCGUAGUGCCAUACAGUGCCCCACAUCGCCCCAUAGCGUGCCCCAUAGCGUACCCCAGGGUGCCCCCUAGCCCCACAUCACCCCAUAGCACAACCCCUAGCCCCCCCCAGCCCCACAUCGCCCCACGCUUUUCCCCUCCCUCCCCACACAGAGCUGCCGCGCUGCCCUAUGGCGGAUGUGGGACGCGCUAUGGGGCAGAGCUAUGGGGCGGCGCUCCCCGAGCACCCCGCCCCAUACGCCACUCCUGCCCCACACCGACCUGUGGGAUGAAGAAGAGGAGGAAGAGGAGAGUGGGGCGCUGUGGGGCCACGGCCCCCCCGGGAGCCCCACCGCCUUCCGCCCCACUGCCUCCACCCCACAGCACCGUGGGUCGCCACCAAGCACCCCCGAGGGCAGCCCCACCGCUAUGGGGCGCCUACGCCGCACUCUCACCUUCGAGGAGGAUCCAGAGCUCCCUAGCGUCGCCCCAUAGCGCCGCCCCAUAGCGCUGCCCCAUAAGGGGGGCGCUGAUUGGCCAACGGGACGGAAACAACGCUUCUGGUUGGCCGAUGGGACGGGACUGAGUUCUGAUUGGCUGAAGGAAUGCCGCUUGAUUGGCCGAAGGAACAGGAACAAUCUUCUGAUUGGCCAAAGGAAUAGCAGAAUGCUUCUGAUUGGCCAAUGCGCUAGGAAUGCAUUCUGAUUGGCUGAAGGAAUGGGAGCAGCACUCCUGAUUGGCCAGCGGGUGGCGCUGGGAUCCGCCCAUUAAAGUGCUAAACCGCUACGGAGGGGGGGCGUGGCCGAACAUAAGCCCCGCCCACUCCAGUGCCCUGCCGCAAUCCCAUUGGCUGACGUCAACGUCGCCGCGCCAUAUAUGGACACAGGCUGCCGCGAGUCGAUUUGCAUAGCCACGCUCGCCGCGUCGCGAUUUGCAUAAAUCUUUCAUAUUCAUGAGCUUGGCCCACGCCCUCCCGCCUCUCCAGCAGGGACCCCGAUGGGAGAAUCGAGUGGAGGCGAAUCUGUGGGGCAGAUGUGGGGUGUCUAUGGGGCAGAUGUGGG